AGAGCUUCUCACUAUGGUCGAGGGCGCUUUGGGAAUGAAGCAUAUUCCGGAGCAGGCCACACGGCGGGGUAGAAGUCGGCACAGCAUCAGGCUUGGGGGUACGUAGUCUUGGUGGAAGAACAUCAGACUGCUCUAAGCUCGGUGGGUUUUGUUUACACCAGGCACGCUCAAAAUGAAACGAGCAAAUCUGGCUGCUCUUCAACGGAGUUCAUUCUAAGCGUCCAGUAGCGCGCGCGAACUCGGACCACUCCUGGCGCUUAUCGACGCCGACGGUAGCGAAAGAGGAAGCCAGGCGAGCUGGGGCCUAGCUCACUGGCCGUCGGAUCCGAGGCCGGCGGCCCUUGCGAUCCGUCCGCAGCUCGAAAUAAAGCACCUAUGUUCGUCAACACAAUCAACAUCUGCACAUUUAUGUCGCCCAUGAGUGACAAUACAAUUAGCUUACCCGACGCCGUUGGUGGCGAUGAGAAAACAUGCUAGGCAGGCGAACCGCUUCGCAGAGAGAAUUGCUGCGGCGGCUGCGCUGACCGCUUGCGAGCCAAGAUCACGCCAACGAUUUGCUAUUUCGCGCAACGUUUUAUAACAUGCACACUUUCGAGGUCACUUUACAACUUAUUUCGUGCCAGAAACAAAUUCUAGUCGUUCCGUGUGCCACCGUCAGCGGCGAAAAAAAAAAAAAUGCAGAGAACCCUAGCCAUGCACGGCAUCGCUGUAACCUGAGCCAUUCCACUCUGUGAAGAUCGUUGACCAGCGAAGCUGUUUAGCACACGACACGCAGGUGAGACAUAAUACUGAACAAAGGUACGAUCUCGUUUAUUGUCUUGAUGGGUGGUCAUCGUGACGAAAGGUACGCACACUUAUUUAUUGUCUUGAUCGGUGGUCAUUAUUUCACUCGCAACUGCAAUCACAUUCUUUGAUAAUGUCAAAUCGAUGCACGUACGCCGCUGGGUGGUCGGCUGGGUCGAAUCGGUGUGUUAUCGCAAGGAAUAUGUCUGCGAUACGGAACGCGUCAACCGCUCCCUUUUCGGUACUGACACAUCCACAUUGAAAUCAACGACAACAGGCGCAGUGUCACCGCAGCUAAUUCACGCAGAGCCCUCGCACGUGCAACCCCCGCAGCUUGGCAAGCGCCGGAUGUUUCUACGCCAAGGAUGCACCAAGAGCAGUUUUGACGAAGCCCAUACAUGACACCACAUUCUGUCAUGCACGUCGACCAGAACGCCGUCGCAGCGGCGUGUAACGUGUCACACAGCACGCAACUGACGUCGGAGAUCGUGUGUCCUUGGCGCAGCUGCGGUACUCAGCCUCGUGGACGACGGGCAGACCCCGGCUCAAAACUUUUCUCCAGCACGUCGUCCCCAAUCGAUCAAUGGCGCACGUCACGGGCUCGCCGCUGGCCUAACUACUGCCGGCCGCAGCAGCCGCCGGUGCUUGCGCAAUCCGGAGCGCAUACAGCGGCCCCAGCAGCAGGCGAAAUCCCGCUAUUGUGCCACGCACGCACGACGGCUUCCGCUCACGUCGGCACGGCUUCCCCGCCAUGGCUGCCUCUGAAGUCGCUUCAGGGGGCGGGCUGCUCAUACGAAAUGUUCAGCAGAACAGCGAAGACGCGGCGAGAAACUAUAAAGGCUUUGAGAUUGGCGAGACUACUCGGUUAAACCGCAGCCCGCCCCCC
Molecule: long non-coding RNA, 1669 nt
Organism: Dermacentor andersoni
Lineage: Eukaryota; Metazoa; Arthropoda; Arachnida; Ixodida; Ixodidae
Source: RefSeq, a predicted model, not a curated record